CCUACGGGUGGCAGCAGUGGGGAAUAUUGGACAAUGGGCGAAAGCCUGAUCCAGCCAUGCCGCGUGUGUGAAGAAGGCCUUCGGGUUGUAAAGCACUUUCAGUGGGGAAGAAAGCCUUGGGGCUAAUACCCUCGAGGAAGGACAUCACCCACAGAAGAAGCACCGGCUAACUCCGUGCCAGCAGCCGCGGUAAUACGGAGGGUGCGGGCGUUAAUCGGAAUUACUGGGCGUAAAGCGCGCGUAGGCGGUCUGAUAAGCCGGUUGUGAAAGCCCCGGGCUCAACCUGGGAACGGCAUCCGGAACCGUCAGGCUAGAGUGCAGGAGAGGAAGGUAGAAUUCCCGGUGUAGCGGUGAAAUGCGUAGAGAUCGGGAGGAAUACCAGUGGCGAAGGCGGCCUUCUGGACUGACACUGACGCUGAGGUGCGAAAGCGUGGGUAGCAAACAGGAUUAGAUACCCGAGUAGUC
This 465-nucleotide ribosomal RNA is filed under the name Vreelandella stevensii. RNAcentral describes it as "partial 16S ribosomal RNA". It matches the Rfam family "Bacterial small subunit ribosomal RNA", at positions 338 to 795 of the family's 1533-position model. Lineage: Bacteria; Pseudomonadati; Pseudomonadota; Gammaproteobacteria; Oceanospirillales; Halomonadaceae. The record is from RNAcentral.